AUACGGAGGGUGCGAGCGUUAAUCGGAAUUACUGGGCGUAAAGCGUACGUAGGCGGUUGGUUAAGUUAGAUGUGAAAGCCCCGGGCUUAACCUGGGAACUGCAUUUAAAUCUGGCGAACUAGAGUUGAGUAGAGGGGAGUGGAAUUUCAGGUGUAGCGGUGAAAUGCGUAGAGAUCUGAAGGAACACCAGUGGCGAAGGCGACUCCCUGGACUCGAACUGACGCUGAGGUGCGAAAGCGUGGGUAGCAAACGGGAUUAGAAACCCCAGUAGUCC
RNAcentral lists this ribosomal RNA (274 nucleotides) under uncultured bacterium. Its description in RNAcentral is "partial 16S ribosomal RNA". It matches the Rfam family "Bacterial small subunit ribosomal RNA", at positions 523 to 796 of the family's 1533-position model. The record is from RNAcentral.